Molecule: long non-coding RNA, 1129 nt
Organism: Carcharodon carcharias (great white shark)
Lineage: Eukaryota; Metazoa; Chordata; Chondrichthyes; Lamniformes; Lamnidae
Exons: 4
Source: RefSeq, a predicted model, not a curated record
CUCCCGGAAGACGCGUCAUCGUAUUGAGCAGACCAGCCAUUGGCUGGCAGGCUGUGCGGUUACGUCAUUGAGAAACAAGCAGCUGCUGUCAAGCAGGGCGUUGCCAUGGAGCCGGGGAUGGGAGCGGUAGCAAGUUAAAGCUUUCCGGGGUCCAGAUGAGAGCAGUAAGCAGCACCAAUACAAUCAUCAACGCACAGGAAAAGAGUUGUGGGAGAGGACCUGAAUAGGACUGGAACAAGGAAUGUUCAACAUAUCCCACAAAAAGACAGGCAUAACAAGGGGCUCAUGUGGGCGGUGGAGUGACACAGGGCAGGGUGUUCGUGGUAUGAAGUGAUAUGGUGGAAAAAGGAGUCACCAAUUGCCAGGAGUUAAAUUGAGAAUAAGCAUUGGAGGGAAAAUAUCAACUUCAGCAGCCUUAUUCCCUUGAUCUCCCCCAGGCACAUGAGCUUUGUCUUUAUUCCUUCACACCAACUGUGUACCCUACUCCUUCACACUACCCAUUCCCCUUUAUACACCCCCAUUCCUAAUCAAUACCCUAUCUCUUUCCCUUUUAACAACCCACUUAAUCCCUGUAUCCUCCCCACUCCCACUCACUUCCCCCCCAAGGAUGGGUGCCAAGAUGCCAGAUGCCAACUCACCCCCAAGCAAAUUCUCUCAUCCCUUUCAGCCCUUUACUGAAUGGGAGUGUUACCACUGAGUCAUAGCUGACGCCUCCUGACAGGUCACCAUUUGGCAUUUCCACCAUGAUCCCAGCACCAAACACAUUUUAUCUUCUCUUCCGUUUUCUGAAGGAACCAUUUUCUUUGUGACACCAUAGUUAAUUCUUCCAUCAUCCUAACACUUGCUCCUCUUCCUCUCGCACCUUGCUGUGAAAAUACAGGAGAGGCAACACCUGCACAUUCAUCUCCCACACCACAGAUUUCCAGCAUCUGUGGCAUUUGACAUUUUAUUUAUAUCUCCCAAGCUGGAACCUUGUAAAUUCAAACAGGUCGAACCAGUUCAGUCAGAGCUGAGCAAACAACCAUGUGCAGAAGAGAUGCCUAAAGUUCAAAAUUACAUCAUUCACAACAACAUGAUUAAGUGUAUCCAUUAAAUUAUUUUUAUUAUUAAAUUAAAGUUCUUACUUGAA